RNAcentral lists this long non-coding RNA (609 nucleotides) under Mus musculus (house mouse). Its description in RNAcentral is "long non-coding RNA chr11:98904967-98905576". The record is from RNAcentral. Lineage: Eukaryota; Metazoa; Chordata; Mammalia; Rodentia; Muridae.
AGAGUGGCUGAAUUCCUGAUUAUUUGAUCCAUUAUUGUUAUUAAUAUGAAUAAUAAACUAUUUAUUGAUUUCAUUAUUCUUUCUGACUUAAUAGCCUGCAUUAUGGCAUUUGCUUAAAUGACCCCCAACUUCCAGCCCUGUAAAUGACCUCACUCCGAUAGUAUCGUUGGUCCUUGUGUGUACCUUUGCACAUGCUCAAAGAAAGAUGCCAGACAGGUCUUUCCAGUGUGACUUGAUUCCUGCUCUGUGACCCCGCUUGAGUUAAGUGAUAAGAACACCAGCUUGCUCACUGCUGAUUGCUCAGGCACAGCUGUGUGUGCUGUGAAUGUGUCUCGAGUAUUUCCUGGCCCAGACCAUGAACUGCAACUCGUGGGACGGAAGCUACCUUCCUCUUGCUUGUGAAUUCUCCGCAGAUGGUAAAAUGCCAAUCUCAGGAUCAUGACCACACCAGAGAAGAACUACAAGAAGGCUUUUUCACCUUUGACACCACGGACGCCCAGUCUGAUCUGUUUUUGCACAUAAUUAAAUGUAUUCUUCUACGUUUAUGGCUUUGAGAUUUAAAAGACUGUGUAUGUGCUUUCCAACCAUAAAAAUCAUUCCUGCACACAG